This 5301-nucleotide small RNA is filed under the name Pongo abelii (Sumatran orangutan). RNAcentral's name for it is "retained intron". The record is from RNAcentral. Lineage: Eukaryota; Metazoa; Chordata; Mammalia; Primates; Hominidae.
CAUCAUCUGAGGUGGACAGGAAGCCCAGCCAAGCCACUGGGGCCGACCCCUCCCCUGGACUCACCUGCUCCUGAGCCACACACCCUCCAGGCACUACCCACAGCAGUUCUAGGGGUGGGUCCUGGGAAGACUCCCCUCUGCUCCCCAAAACCCCAAGGCCUGGCUCGGGGCCACUGGAGCCGCAGGCAGGACACAUGUGUGACCGGCUCUGUGCCCCCGGCAGCCCCGCGCCGUGUACUGUAAGGACGUGCUGGACAUUGAGCAGUUCUCCACUGUGAAGGGCGUCAAUCUGGACCACACAGAUGACGACUUCUACUCCAAGUUCUCCACGGGCUCUGUGUCCAUCCCGUGGCAAAAUGAGAUGAUAGAAACAGAAUGCUUUAAGGAGCUGAACGUGUUUGGACCUAAUGGUACCCUCUCGCCAGAUCUGAACAGAAAUCACCCUCCGGAACCGCCAAAGAAAGGGCUGCUCCAGAGAAUCUUCAAGCGUCAGCAUCAGAACAAUUCCAAGAGUUCGCCCAGCUCCAAGACCAGUUUUAACCACCACAUAAACUCAAACCAUGUCAGCUCGAACUCCACCGGAAGCAGCUAGUUUCGGCUCUGGCCUCAAAGUCCGCAGUGGAACCAGCCCAGACCCUUCUCCUUAGAAGCGGAAGUAGUGGAGCCCCUGCUCUGGUGGGGCUGCCAGGGGAGCCCCCUGGGAGCCGGGGAAGGAGGCCGUCCAUCCCGUUGACGUAGAACCUCGAGGUUUCUCAAAGAAAUUUCCACUCAGGUCUGUUUUCUGAGGCGGCCCCCGCCGGGGUGGAUUGGAUUUGUCUUUGGUGAACAUUGCAAUAGAAAUCCAAUUGGAUACGACAACUUGCACGUAUUUUAAUAGCGUCAUAACUAGAACUGAAUUUUGUCUUUAUGAUUUUUAAAGAAAAGUUUUGUAAAUUUCUCUACUGUCUCAGUUUACAUUUUGUAUAUUUGUAUUUAAAUGAAAGUGAGACUUUGAGGAUGUAUAUUUUCUGUGCAGCCACUGUUAAGCCAUGUGUUCCAAGGCAUUUUAGCGGGGAGGGGGUUACCAAAAAAAAAAAAAUGUGACUCAAGACUUCCAGAGCCUCAGAUGAGAAAAUGUCUUUAUUAAAUGUAGAAAGUGAUCCACACUUCACCUUUGAAGGAUUGGUUGUAUUUACCCACAUCUAUCCCUGGAGCCAUUUCCUCACAUUGGUGUCACCCUUCUGUCGGCUUGGAACAAUCUGAAUUAAAUGUUCCAGACACAUGUGGGACUUCUCCCUCCCAGCCAGAAUGUCCUCUCCUGGGGCCCUCGGAGUCGCCUAGGCUGAGCCCUUCUCCUCGAGGGGCACGCCGAGCCACCGUUGUACCCACCUCUGUCUGCUCUUCCUUCAGGAAGGUGGCUGGCGCGCGGAUCUAGAUGUUUGCAGCCUGGUGGGCAAUGGGCCUCUUUCCUUCUAAGCAGGUCCUGACUGCUAAAGCCAGUCAUUUUCAAGAGGUUUGCAUUGGGGGAUUUUUGCUCUAUUUUUAACAGAAGCAUAGGAUCGUAAAGAUUUGUCAUGAAACCCCAAGUGUCCCAAAGCCUCCGGGCCCACGGGAGCAUCGGGAAGUGAGGCAGUGCGCUCAUCCUGACGGAGCAGCGUCGUGUCUGUAGUGGGGAGGGAGGCUGGCCCAGGGGCCCGGCAUGUUCCUGAAGCGUUCACAGGGUUUCGAGACCUUCACAGCCCCAUCAAUGUGCUGGCCCAUGUGGCAUGGAUGGGGCAGUCUUUCCGGGCAAACGAGGGGCCCAAGGAGAGACCAAGCCACCAAAGAGCUGAAGACAAAGUCAUUGUUCCUUCCCCAGGAAGGUGGGGCAGAGGCAAGAUCUGUCGGACAUUUCAAAGUCUCAGGCAGGAGCUCCCAGAGGACUUGGUGGCUUUGCCAGCCCAGGGGCCUCUGAAGGCAGCCCCCGCACCCUUGUAGCAGGGCUGUCCCUCCCCAGGGAGCAGCUGGCCACCUCCUCCUGCCUCGAUGAAGUGACCAGGGGCCAAUCUGCUCCCCCCUCCCGUCCAGGACAGGGUGAACAUUUGACCUCACUGUCCCCUGCCCGGCUGAGUCCCUGGUGUCUGACUCUGCCACCCAGCAGCUGCCAGGGUCUCUCACCAUGUGGACCCUGCCCUAGCUGCACCUGCACCUCCUGUCAAUAGUGCAGACCCACAGGUUCCACCCCAAACCACAGAAUGGGAAUGCUUGGGAGCCCACCCCUGCUGUGGGCUCUCAGCGGGGCUUUGGGGGUGAUCACCCCAAACACAUUUCUCUGUGUGACGCAGGCAGAAUUGGAGCACGAGCCGUGGGGAGGACAGUCAUGAGCACACCAGCUGUGAGGCCCGGUUUCCGUGCCUUACCCCCGGACUCUACCCCUGGGUCCUGGGGCGUGCUGCUAAAAGGGUCCUGGCCUUUGGGACUGAUCAUUUUGAGGCCCUUUUACAAAGAAAUGGGGGAGAAGAAAUAGCUGGGCUUCCCUCAAAUCUUUUUAAUAUGCAGUAUUUUUUUUGUUCAAGACCAGCUCUUGUUUUAUGAGGCUCCUUCCAUUACCUUUCUUGGGCUGAAUGCAAAACAAAUACAGCCAUAUUCAAGUCUUCCAAGGAAGUAGAAAACUCUUUGAAUGGUAUCUUAAGAUCCUUAAGCUCUUGCUGAACUUCCUUUUUCAAUGAAAAGAAGGACCAUCAUCCUAGGACGGUCACCAGCCCAAGCCACCACCCCAGCCACCCAUCCAGGAGGUUGGUUCCUUUUGCCCAGUUCAUAGCAGCUCAGUCCUUACCAAAUGGAUUCUUGGUGUUGGAAAGCAGCCUCUUUUUAUUCCUGAAAGGCAAUGCCCUGUCCGUUUGCAGUAGAGAAUCUCCAGGGAGCAAGAAAGAUGACAGAAGUGUGGCUGCCAUGUUUCUAGGUCAUGAGAGCUCUGGCAGUACUGUCACAAGGCCUGCACGUGGAUUCUAUGAUAACUUGAGUCUUCCAUCAUGUUUGCCACCAGCCCUCCCUGAGUGCCCAGAGGAGAUGGGGGCAGAGUCACUUGGCAUACUAAAGCCUCCUGUUCCUUCUGGCUCAUGCAUUGCUUUGUGGUAAGAGAAAGGAAGUCUUUAGAACAGCACCUGGGAAUCAGCCCUUCUCCCUACUGAGUCCCCAGUCCUGUCCCUUCCCCGACUCGCUCCUCCUCUAACCUUGGUUUCUAUAGCCGCAUUUUUUUUUUUUUUUUGAGACAAGAUCUCGUUGUGUUGCCCAGGCUGAAGUGCAGUGGCAUGAUCCUGGCUCACUGCAGCCUCAAACUCCUGAGCCCAAGCUAUCCUCCUGCCUCAGCUUCCAAGGUAGCUGGGAUCAUAGGCAUGCACCACCAUACUCAGCUAAUUUUUAAGAUUUUUUGUAGAGACGGGGGUCUCACUAUGUUGCCCAGGCUGGCCUCGAACUCCUGAUCCCAAGCUAUCCUCCUGCCUCAGCCUCCCAAAGUGCUGAGGUUAUAGGUGUGAGCCACUGUCCCUGGCCUAUACAGUCAUUUUUUAAAAGAUAUUUUAAAAUUAAAAGCAAACAACACUGUCCACCCAUCCACCUGUCCAGGAUAAGACAUAUUUGGAUGGUGAACGGAUUUACUCUCUUUAAUACAUUUGAGCGCUUCACAGAAGAGUCUUUCUGCUCCGGGCAUGACAUUUUUUUCACCAGACAUUCACUGACUUCGUGACUUUGAGGUGAGACAUGGGAUCUCUUAGAAGCGUCUCUGCAACUGCAUUUCAGGAGAUGAGCUGCUGUCCCUGGUGGAUAGAGGUGGUCUCUGCCAUGGUCACCGUGAUGCCCUAUAAGUGUUUAUUGAGUGCCUUGGGGGGCACCCAGAAUACGACCCAAAAUAGCAAGAAGACCCAGUCCCCGCCUUGCGGAGGGUGCACUCGCACGCCACAGCAACCCAUUCUCUCCUCUUCCUUGGCUGGGAACCCAGGGCUCUAGGGCUGCUCGCUGCUGCUGUGGCCUGCGCGGCCACGGGAGGCUUCCUGAAAGGCAUUGCUCGGAGGGGCGGGGGCGGGGAGGCCUAGCCUGCCCACAGACACAGCUGUGAGGCCGGGUCAUACACAUACCAGCAAGCAGCUGCCGAGACAAAUGGUGGUGGGAAGUCCUGGGGACACACACAGCCUUUGCAUGGACAGUAGGAUCAGAGUAGGAUCAGUAGGAUCAAGUAGGACAGUAGGAUCAGUAGGAUCAAGUAGGAUCAGAGCCCAGGUGAGCCCCUGAGGAUACCGAGGCCUUCCCUUCCUGAAGCCGGCAAGUCUCCAUGCCUCUCCCAGGAGCCUGGCCCCGCUGCAGAAAUCCCUCCUCUUCCUCCACACCCUGUCCUUUCCCCAAAGGCUUGGGUUAUCAGUUCCAGCUACCCAUCGACUUUCCCACUGAGCCGCUGCCCUCAAAACGGAGGGGGCACCGCAGCCUCCUUGAGCCUGGCAUCCCAGGCCUUGCCAAAGGGGAUGGUGGCAUCCUGGAUAAUCGGAAAUCUCUGAGAAGAAGAGGAAACGCCUGAGUGACACUCAGCUGUCCUCUGGGGUCCCCUGGUGUGCAUGCACGUCCUCCUGAAUACCUGUACUUCCAAGAGGUGGUCUCCCGUUUUCAUAACCCAACACUCUGAGAUAGCAUCUUCGAACUUUUUAGCCCCAGCUGUGGGAAGAUAGUGAGUAUGAAGUCUGUGCAUUUGGAAGUGACAUCGCUGUGUGGAUUAUGAACACAGAGAGCUGCCAUCUUCCUGAUCACAAUAGGCCACGAUUGCAAAGCCGCCUCUCCCAGAGACCCCUUCUGCGCCUGCCCUCCCCACCCACCACCCAGUGUUGAAGCUCAGCGUGUGCAAGUCAGACCCUGCACAGGCCGGGGGUGUCUCACCUGGCCUAAACGUAAAGGCUUGUGCCGGAGACAGUGAUUGAAAACAUUUGAAAAGCCAGCUCUCCCCGGCAGAGAAAGACGCUUCCCCUGAAGUGGAGUCUAGAUGUCUUUCCCUAGUCCAUCAAGAAGUCAUUUUUGUAACAGUCCCUAAGCGAGUGUUCUCAAUUAGAAGAGUUUAGUGGCUGUUGGUGUUGUUAAAAUAAUAAUAAUCCUUCUAGCAUCCAAAGCUUUCUAAUUUUUUUCAGGGAGAUUUGGACAUUAAUGAAUGGAAACUUCCAUGGUGGCGGUCACUCCUGAAGGCAGCGGCUUCUGUUCUCCCGCUGCUCUAACUCUGUGUGUUCCGUCUACCGUGUCACAGUGCCGCUGGAUCUAGAUGGAGCCACUGUUGUUGUUUUUAAAAGAGAAAUAAAUUCCUUAAUGGAA